Macaca fascicularis (crab-eating macaque) is the source of this 148-nucleotide unclassified non-coding RNA. It matches the Rfam family "Metazoan signal recognition particle RNA". Rfam says of the family: The signal recognition particle (SRP) is a universally conserved ribonucleoprotein. It is involved in the co-translational targeting of proteins to membranes. The eukaryotic SRP consists of a 300-nucleotide 7S RNA and six proteins: SRPs 72, 68, 54, 19, 14, and 9. Lineage: Eukaryota; Metazoa; Chordata; Mammalia; Primates; Cercopithecidae. The record is from Ensembl.
GCCAGGUGUGGUGGUGCACACCUGUAAUCCUGGCUACUUGGGAGGCUGAGGCAGGAGGAUCACUUGAGCUUGGGAGGCCUGGGUUGCAAUGAGCUGAGAUCAUGCCACUGCACUUCAGCCUGGGAGAUGAAGCAAGAUCCUGUCUCAA